CCUACGGGAGGCAGCAGUGGGGAAUAUGGGGCAAUGGGCGCAAGCCUGACCCAGCAACGCCGCGUGAAGGAAGAAGGCUUUCGGGUGGUAAACUUCGUUUAAGAGGGAAGAGCAGAAGACGGUAGCUCUUGAAUAAGCCACGGCUAACUACGUGCCAGCAGCCGCGGUAAUACGUAGGUGGCAAGCGUUGUCCGGAUUUACUGGGUGUAAAGGGCGUGCAGCCGGGAAGACAAGUCAGAGGUGAAAUCCCUCGGCUCAACCGCGGAACUGCAUUUGAAACUGUUUUUCUUGAGUACCGGAGAGGUCAUCGGAAUUCCUUGUGUAGCGGUGAAAUGCGUAGAUAUCAGGAAGAACACCAGUGGCGAAGGCGGCUGACUGGACGGCAACUGACGGUGAGGCGCGAAAGCGUGGGGAGCAAACAGGAUUAGAUACCCUUGUAGUC
RNAcentral lists this ribosomal RNA (442 nucleotides) under uncultured bacterium. RNAcentral's name for it is "partial 16S ribosomal RNA". It matches the Rfam family "Bacterial small subunit ribosomal RNA", at positions 338 to 795 of the family's 1533-position model. The record is from RNAcentral.